Molecule: ribosomal RNA, 405 nt
Filed under: Babesia gibsoni
Lineage: Eukaryota; Apicomplexa; Aconoidasida; Piroplasmida; Babesiidae
Description: SSU rRNA
Rfam family: Eukaryotic small subunit ribosomal RNA
Source: RNAcentral
AUUACCCAAUACUGACACGGGGAGGUAGUGACAAGAAAUAACAAUACAGGGCAAUUGUCUUGUAAUUGGAAUGAUGGUGACGUAAAAUCUCACCAGAGUAACAAUUGGAGGGCAAGUCUGGUGCCAGCAGCCGCGGUAAUUCCAGCUCCAAUAGCGUAUAUUAAACUUGUUGCAGUUAAAAAGCUCGUAGUUGAAUUUCUGCGUUGCCCGACUCGGCUACUUGCCUUGUCUGGUUUCGCUUUUGGGGUUUUCCCCUUUUUACUUUGAGAAAAUUAGAGUGUUUCAAGCAGACUUGUGUCUUGAAUACUUCAGCAUGGAAUAAUAAAGUAGGACUUUGGUUCUAUUUUGUUGGUUUGUGAACCUUAGUAAUGGUUAAUAGGAACGGUUGGGGGCAUUCGUAUUUAA